GUCGGGAUGGAGGCCGUGAGGGGGAGGUAGUGGAAGGUCUGUGGGUGGAGUCCUAAGACAAGAACUUCGGUAGUCUUGCCCUUCAGUCGCCUUGAUGGGUUAUUGAGUACUUUAUCAAUAGAAUAAAAAGAAGAGAGAAGAACCGUUGUUGAGUUAUGAUAGUAUCAACAACCAAUUAUUCUGGAUGACAUGACAUUAUUUGGCUAACAAUCUAUAGAAACUCGAUGCA
RNAcentral lists this long non-coding RNA (229 nucleotides) under Elaeis guineensis (African oil palm). Its description in RNAcentral is "long non-coding RNA (EGUI_LNC026278)". The record is from RNAcentral. Lineage: Eukaryota; Viridiplantae; Streptophyta; Magnoliopsida; Arecales; Arecaceae.